This 34-nucleotide small RNA is filed under the name Bombyx mori (domestic silkworm). RNAcentral describes it as "ovarian small RNA-14025". The record is from RNAcentral. Lineage: Eukaryota; Metazoa; Arthropoda; Insecta; Lepidoptera; Bombycidae.
CCUGAAAUCACAAGCAGGAAGAGAUAGGGACUUA